CUUACUUGCUCCACUUGCUUCAGAGAGAGAAGCGCAGGUGUGCGGUUUAGUGAAGGAGCAAGGCUUAUGUGAAUAGAAGAAUCCAAGGUAGAGCAGGAAGAGAAAUCCAGCUAGAGAAAGAGGUGGAAGUGAAAAUAAGUAGACUCUUAUUUUAAAUUUUUAAUGGCUUCUUGGUGGCUUCAAGAUAAAAACAAUGAAUUCUUUGGAGGUGAGCACUGCAUGUAUAUUUUACCUUUGUUUCUCUGCACAGGAUAGACAAUGAGGAGCUUUGUGUUUGGGAAAAGAAUAAAAGUCAACUGUAGCAAAACGUCUCAGAAGUAGGAUUUAUAAACAGUUCUCAAAGGAUGCACAUGAAAAUGUAAUUUCUUGGGAAAGCGGCAAACAGAAAAGAAUCAAACCGCAGUUGUGUGUGGCAAGGAUAAAUAUGCAACGCAUCAUCAAUAGGAUUUGUUGGGUGAAUAAAAAAGCCUUUUAGCCAAUAAUAUGUAAGCAGAAGAAUGGGGCAGGAGUUAGAGAGAACCCUCAAGCAAUAAUGGAGGCCACUGGAGAGGCAAGACUGCCAAAGGCUAAGUUAUUGACCCAGUAUUUUUAAAACUGCCUCCGAAAAGAAGCCUGAAUGAAAGAAAAUAAUUUGUGCUAUUAGAA
Long non-coding RNA from Pan troglodytes (chimpanzee), 645 nucleotides. RefSeq lists it as uncharacterized. The record is from RefSeq and is a predicted model, not a curated record. The transcript has 2 exons. Lineage: Eukaryota; Metazoa; Chordata; Mammalia; Primates; Hominidae.